CAGAGAAUUUCGCCCUCACGGGUGACUCUCCAACCCUAUGUUAUCAUAUCUUUGUUGCUUUGGCGAGACGCCUCGUGCCACCGACUUUUGUCGGUGAGCGCUCGCCAGAGGACCCAAAACUCUUGAAUUUAUUAUUGUCUGAGUACUAUAUAAUAGUUA
This 159-nucleotide unclassified non-coding RNA is filed under the name uncultured Hyalodendriella. RNAcentral's name for it is "sequence contains ITS1". Lineage: Eukaryota; Fungi; Ascomycota; Leotiomycetes; Helotiales. The record is from RNAcentral.